Molecule: long non-coding RNA, 945 nt
Organism: Puntigrus tetrazona (Sumatra barb)
Lineage: Eukaryota; Metazoa; Chordata; Actinopteri; Cypriniformes; Cyprinidae
Exons: 3
Source: RefSeq, a predicted model, not a curated record
CAUGCUGCUCCAGAGGGAACCUGCGAGUGCUUAUCAUAUCAGUGUGGAUGUUUGCUCAGUUAAGUAGCCUAACAUAGGGUUUUUAAACCCAGUUUAUAUUUGAAAUUAUUGAAAAUAGUUGAGGAUGAUCAAAAACUGACGUUAUCUGUUUGUGUUUCAUGAUAAAAGCGUAUCCUUCGUAGCUGCAGGAACUCUCAUUUCCUUUGGAAUGGGGGAAAUGUCCUGCAACGAUCUGCAAUGCCAGGAAAUAUCUUUAAACGCUGGCACACUGGCACACAUGGGUCUGUGUUUGUAUAUUAACCAGCAUGCACUUGGAGCAACAAAUCAGUGCAUCCGAGUUCUGAAAAAGGAGGAAAGCGAAAAGAUCUGCCGCCACCUAGUGGUGAAUUUGCCUUAUCAACUUUUCAUCAACAAUGUCUUCUUUCUCGGAAAUUGUGUUUUGUCCAUAUUUUUCUCCACACAAAGUUUUGCUCUGGAACAAUGCAGAUAUGACCGUAUAAAUCCCCUUUUCCCCUAAAUGGUUCAGAUGUGUUAGAUGAUGCCGGUAAUAUUUUAACUUAUGGGCAUUUCUUGAUCAUCACGGCUUUCCUGCUCCGCUAAAAGAAAACAAUACAUUAAUAAAAGCUAUACCAGCAGGUUUAUACCAAUUAGUUAGAAGUCAGGUAAUGUUGAGUGAAGGUAAUGCGGCGUCUCCUGUUUUGUUUGGGGGUGGUAGUAACUUUUUAGACAAGAAGUGUAACAACAAACAUAUUCACAGGCUUCUUCAAGUUAAAAAAAAAGAUUACUCCAAGUCUUUAUAUUUUUAGCACUUUAAAUAAGGUGUACAAUUUUGCCCUCAAAAAAUAUUAUUUGUUAUUAUGAAACACCAAAACAUUUUUCCUUUGAAUAUAUUGUUAAUUUUUUUUAUGUUGUAUUUAAAACUAUUUCCAUAAGCAAAAAUGGUCC